RNAcentral lists this long non-coding RNA (4204 nucleotides) under Homo sapiens (human). Its description in RNAcentral is "HSALNT0409529". The record is from RNAcentral. Lineage: Eukaryota; Metazoa; Chordata; Mammalia; Primates; Hominidae.
CACAGAUAAGCAAUUUGUAUAAUUAGUGAAAUCCUAGGGAAAAAAAAAAGGUAUCUCCCUUUCAGGCAUAUAUGUGGUGGAAAUAUGCACAGGGCUGAGGAUGGCUUAUCAAAAACAACCCACUUUAUACAAGGAAAAUAAGUGGCACUGUGUGCUUGCCUGGAGGCAUACCCACAGCUACAUAAGAUAAGGGGAGUUGCACACACAGGUUUACUGAUAAGAGAAGUUACUCAAACUGCUACAGACAUGAGAGGAGUUUCUUAUAAAAGCUUUCGAAUUCAGAUGUAACCCAGCAAUGCACUCAGACUCCUCUCUGCUGUGGAGAGCUUUUUUUUUUUUUUUUCAUAUUAAACUUUCACUCCAACUUUAUCUUUGUGUUUACAAUUCUUAAUUUUUUUGUCUUGGAUAAAGAACAAAAAACCUGGAGUACUUCUUCAGACAACAAGAAACUUCCAAAUUAAGGUGCAUUGGCAAGAAUGCAACAUAUUUUGAUCCAUUGGCUUGGAAGGAGGGAAUUCAUCAGAAGGGUGAGUAAGAGCCGACUUUUACCUUUAACUAUUUACAUUCAUCUAUGAGUCUUCUCAUCUAUUCCAAUCUAGUUUCCUUUCACAGAGGACCUAAGCCAACAUGUGGGAUUGGAAGAAGGUCCUAGGAAAAUUCAAGAUUUCUGGCUGGGACUAACCCUCAGUGUUAUCUGAAGGUCCUCAGUGUUAUCUGAAGACUACUCCAAUCCUUGACAGCCCACCAGUGUGUCAGCACAAGGACCUUCCCUCUUACAUUUUCCUUCUUUUCUCCCAUGGCUAUUAUGUCACCUAUCUCUUCAUUGUAUACAAUGUUGCAGGUGUUUUUUCAGCCUAGAGAUAUAAUCUUGCUUGGUAGAGUAAGUUGGUGUCUUUUUUUGUAACCAGGAAUGUAACUUCAAGAAACUGUGUUUUUGUGAUUUCCUCGAGACAGAGGAGUUCAAGAUUUCUGUCUAAGUAUUCACUUAGUAAGGUCUCUUCUACCCCUCAAUAAUAGACAUUCAUGACACUAUAUGGUCAAAUAUUUCACCCCAAGUGAAUAUCCUCUUUUCUCUCCAUUUGGAUUGUUUCUUCCCUCUACAUUUGGGUUGGUUUUUCCCUCCCCAUUUGGGUUGGUUUUUCCCUCCAUGUAAAAUCCCAGCAUUGCCCAAUAAAUUUAAACAAUUCUUUAUGAAACAAGUUAAUUUUCUUGUGCUGGGAGGAAUAUUAUAGGAACAGCCAAUUAAACUGAAACCUCUUUUUCUAACUUCUGCCUGAAAGGAUGGAGUCACAGUUUUUACCUAAUAUUUCAGACCCUACAGCACUACGUAGGGGAAUGGGAUUUAUUUUUCCCCACUGGGAGCCUUGUUGGCCCUUUGUCUAAAAACUCUGGUUAUCUCCCUUUUAUAUCCCUCUAUUAGAGACUAGGCUUCAUGCCCCAUUUGAAAACAGCAAAGCUCCAGCUUUAACAGUAAGAGGACGGCCAUUCCAUUUAUAUGUUCUUUUAAGGCACCUGUUCUACAUUCAGCUACAUUGGCAUUUACACCAGAAAUGGGUUUUAUGUUUGAAAGUGAAUCAGUCUCAUUCUUUGGGGUUUCAAUGUUUCACUAGGGCCAUAGCAAGGGAAACCAAAGAUAAUACUAAAACACUUCCUCCAUUAAGGAGGGAAGUCCAGCAGAUGCCCAGAUGCAACUGUCACAUAGUCUUUCCUGAGACCCAUCCAUCAAGGAGUGACCCAGACCCAAGUCUACGAGGUCAAAGAAUAAUCACCAUCAGAGGACUAAAGCCACUUGGGUGAGCAUGGCUUGCCCCAUUGCUUAGCUCCUCUGCUACCAUCAUUUGAAGGUCACACUUGAAACCACUGGUGGCAUAUUCAACACAAUGCUGGGACCCAGGAGCCAAGGAGAAAUAACAGUCUGUGGGACACUCCUACUGUCUUCUUCUCCUCCCUGGGUCACACUGAAAAAAAGCAGGAGACAGAGGGAUGCCUCUUUUCUUGUCUAUUUUUCUAGAGAGGUGACAGUCCAACUUUAAUCUGCACCCCUCUGAGUGCACUCUGAAACUUUUAGAACUACUUUGACCCGAUGACUUUGAAGAAAAAGGUGACCAUUUUCUUUUGCACGAGAGCAUGACAUUUUUUACUAAACCUUCACAAGCAUUAUGAGAUCAACCCAGCUUUUUUAACAGUCAUGGCAGGUAGUCCCAUGGAGAAUAAUUCCGCAGAGUUAGAAAAGCAAUUUCUAAAGAAACCAUCUCAGAAUGCCCCUUAUUAAUCACCACCUCAAGUUUUCUUUUCAUUGCAGGAACUUACACAAAUAAAGGGGGAACUAGGUAGGUUCUCUGAUGACCCUAAUAAACAUAGAGAGGUUUUCCAAAAUUUGACCCAAAUGUUUCAUGUUACAUGGAGAGAUGCUAUGCUACAUUUAAGCCAAAACCCUAACUGUUACAGAAAAGCAGGCAGUCUUGCAGGCAGCAGAAACAUUUGGAGAUAAACAGCGUAACUCCUAUAGCCAGUCUAAAAAUCUUGAAAGGAAAAAAUCUAAGGGAUAAAAGAGGAUAAGGAGAGACAGGGUCCCCAUUCCCAAUAGUAAGAAAAAUGAGGCUCCCUUAAAAGCCCUAAUUGGAGCCUGAGUGAUCUCAUAAAUGAGUGGAAAUUAAAAGAAUUUCUGAUAUACAUUUAAAAAGACUUGGAAAUAAGCAGAACAAGACCUCUUAAUUACUCUCAACUGUAUGAGUUGCACCAGAAAAUAUAUGGAAAUCCACCUGCCUUCUUGGAGAGACUGAGAGAAGCUUUAGUAAGACACACUUCCCUGUCUUCCAGUUCAGUAAAAAACAGGUUCAAUACUCAGGCAGCCCCUGAUAUCAGAAGAAAGUUGCUGAAAUAGGCCCUGUCUAAAAAUCUUUCUAGUUUUUCUCACCAAACAAUCCCACAUUCCUAAGCCCUCUCCACUGUACUGUCUCAUUCACAAUCUUGCAAAACUUGACAGAAGCAUUUAGUCUUUUACUGUAACAUGGCCUGGUCCCAAUACACAUUAGAUAAUGACAGUCGAUGGCCCAAAAAUCAUACCUUUGACUUGCAAAUUCUCAGGAAGCUUAACAACUUUACAGCGAGGGAUGGCAAAUGGCAACUGGUUCUCUAUAUUCAGGCUUUCUUUGAUGUCUACCUUAAAUGUAACCUUCCACUGUGUCAAGCUUGCACUGCUCAUAAAAUCUUUCUUUUUAAUAAAAAUCCUCCCCAGGUCUUUCCUUACUAUGAAACUCCUUUUAACCCAGUAGAUAAAGCCCCUCUGUAUUCUUAUUCCCUGCAUCGACUCCUUGCCCAUCCAAAUCCUCUACCCCAGUGGCCCCUCCUGCCUCCAAACCCUUAGCCCCCAACCCAACUACUCGUUCUCCAUCUGUUACCAAUUCAAAAAUCACAUCUGCCUUUCCCUUUCUGGGAAGUGGCUGUGGUUAAAGGCAUUGCUCACAUUAAUUUCCCUUUCUCCAUGUAGGAUUUGUUGCAGAUCAAAGCUGAAUCAAACUUGACUUACAAAGCAAAAAGGCCCUUGGAAAACUCACUGCAUAUUUUGUGUACACAGUCCCUGUACAUGGUUUCUGAUCUGUGAGUCAAGGACACUUGUCUUGAGCUAGCUACACCCUUUCACAACUCAGUAAGGAGUGAAGACUGAUUUUGCAGAGCCAAUAAAGGCCCCUGGGGAAACUGGCCUCAUAUCUUGUCAUGAAGAUUUUAUACAGGUUUCCUAACCUGUGUGCUCACUGCUGCAAAGAAGAACAAGCACACAGGCAAAAAGUUUUCCCAGCAAGAAUGCCAGGGUGAAAGGAAAGAUCAAUUGGACCAGAGCACAAGUGCUGCUCCAGUUACUUGGCAGAGUACCUAAUAGUGAUCCACCACAAUACCACCAUAUAUCUGUUUGGGAAUAAACAAGGGCAAGUUGACUGCUUAAGAGUGAUGACAUGCAACUCAGUCUCUUGCAACACCACCUGAGAAAAGGAAGCACUAGCAGGAAGAACAAAUUGAUGGAGAGGAAAAGUGAUGAAUACAGAUAAGAAGCACAGCUGGUGGAGGCUCAUGUGCCAGUUUACUGGGCCUCAGGACAUUCUCCUCUAGAAGGAGGAGACAGCAUGACCCCCACUUUCUUUUAUUUUAUUAUAAUUUAAGUUUUAGGGUACAUGAGCACAAUGUGCAGGUUAGUUACAUAUGUAUA